UGAGCAAUCUGCCCUUCACAUCGGAAUAACCAUUGGAAACGAUGGCUAAUACCGAAUAUGACUUCGGACCGCAUGAUCUGAAGUGGAAAGCUCCGGCGGUGAAGGAUGAGCUCGCGGCCUAUCAGCUUGUUGGUGAGGUAAUAGCUCACCAAGGCGAUGACGGGUAGCCGGCCCGAGAGGGUGACCGGCCACACUAGGACUGAGACACGGCCCAGAUCCGUACGGGG
Molecule: ribosomal RNA, 227 nt
Filed under: uncultured bacterium
Lineage: Bacteria
Description: partial 16S ribosomal RNA
Rfam family: Bacterial small subunit ribosomal RNA
Source: RNAcentral